ACACAUGCAAGUCGAGCGCGCCUUCGGGUGAGCGGCGGACGGGUUAGUAACGCGUGGGAACGUGCCCUUCUCUACGGAAUAGCCUCUGGAAACGGAGAGUAAUACCGUAUACGCCCUUUGGGGGAAAGAUUUAUCGGAGAAGGAUCGGCCCGCGUUAGAUUAGGUAGUUGGUGGGGUAACNGGCCUACCAAGCCUACGAUCUAUAGCUGGUUUUAGAGGAUGAUCAGNAACACUGGGACUGAGACACGGCCCAGACUCCUACGGGAGGCAGCAGUGGGGAAUCUUAGACAAUGGGGGCAACCCUGAUCUAGCCAUGCCGCGUGAGUGAUGAAGGCCUUAGGGUCGUAAAGCUCUUUCGCCUGUGAUGAUAAUGACAGUAGCAGGUAAGAAACCCCGGCUAACUCCGUGCCA
This 411-nucleotide ribosomal RNA is filed under the name uncultured Alphaproteobacteria bacterium. RNAcentral's name for it is "bacterial SSU rRNA". It matches the Rfam family "Bacterial small subunit ribosomal RNA", at positions 51 to 510 of the family's 1533-position model. The record is from RNAcentral. Lineage: Bacteria; Pseudomonadati; Pseudomonadota; Alphaproteobacteria.